Molecule: ribosomal RNA, 332 nt
Filed under: uncultured Glomeromycotina
Lineage: Eukaryota; Fungi; Glomeromycota
Description: eukaryotic LSU rRNA
Source: RNAcentral
CAGUCGUACCGACGGAAAAUCAGCUUUUUGAGUGCGGACUUGUGGGUUUACGUGAGCUUUACGGCCUCGUUGUUUGCAAUGUUCGUUCUUUUUGGGUGUACUUUUUCGUAUGGUUGGCCAAUAUCAGUUUCGAUCGCUAUAAAAUGACCGGCGGAAUGUAGCUUCGAUCUCGUAUUGAAGUGUUAUAGCCUUCGGUAGAUGUGAUGAUCGAGAUUGAGGAUUGCAACGAAUACCUUUUUGGGCUAUCCGUCUGAUCUCUGAAAGUUGCUUAGGUGCCGAAAGCAUGCUUACGGUUAUCAAAGUCGAUGGUCAAUAGGUUAGAAUGGGUUAAA